UCCGUCUGCGACGCAAGCUCCGCGCGGGGCGCCUGACUCCGACCAAUCACUCAAUCGCCAUCCACUUUGUGAGGCAGGGGCCGCCCGCUACCCCUCCGAGAAAACGACGCGUGGCGAUCAUCUUUGUUAUGGGCGAGACGUCUCUCUGCCAUCUUUACUGAGGGCAAAACGAGAGCCCUGCCCUCCGCUGUAUCGAUACGAGCCAUGUUUACUGAGAGAAACGCCCGUCCCCCGCCCUUCAGGGGAACGCAAAACAGGAACGUCACCGGUAACGUCCUCAAAAAUUCCCCUGCUCCUUUCAGUGGAAGCUCAGCCCUGCCCUAGGCUCUCCCUUCGGCACCUGCCCAGAGUGACUGGGGAAAAAAAAAUCCUUCCUGGGGCAGAUGACAAACCGCCUUGCCUUGCACUUGGGCUGCGAAUAGUUCGACGCUGGCUCGGGCUGUCGAGCUCCAAGGCAGGCUGGUGAGAGGGGCAUGGAAAUUGCCUUGUGAAGGAGAACGAUGAAGCAGCAGUGUUUGUGUGUGAGCGCAGGGGAGCCUUUUCUGGAAAAGUAAACAGUGGCCUCAGCUCCCAUAGUUUAUUCUGAGACUCACCAUAUUUGGUGGGUUUCCUCCCGCCCUUUAAAGUCCCAGUUCUUGGAGUCAUGUGAUUACCUCAGAAUCUCAGCUUUCAUUUAAGAGAAAAUAGGAAUACUAGGAAGACAGUCCACAUUAAGGAGUGUGUUUUGGAACUGAAGAAUCCCCUGACCAGAUUCAAGAAAGAGAUAACUUGGAGUUCCAGUUAACAAAAUGCACGUAAGACGAGUUUGGCUGCAAAGAAGAAUUCUGUGUACACUGGGGACAACAUCUGAUUCCUGUAAGGCUGCAGAACUGACAUCAGAAUCCAAACAUACUCUGGUCAGUGCAAGCAGAGACAUUCCUCAAAUGAUUUGGACUUGAUGUGAUGCAGUAUGGAUGUCAUGGAUAAUUCAGACCAAUGGGGAGAAACAGAAUCAAAAACACUGUUUAAGCACCUUCCAUCCCCCCACCCCACCCCUCCCCUUUUGAGGACU
This is a long non-coding RNA of Caretta caretta (loggerhead turtle), 1051 nucleotides long. RefSeq lists it as uncharacterized. The record is from RefSeq and is a predicted model, not a curated record. Lineage: Eukaryota; Metazoa; Chordata; Testudines; Cheloniidae.